RNAcentral lists this ribosomal RNA (411 nucleotides) under Verrucomicrobiota bacterium. RNAcentral describes it as "Verrucomicrobia bacterium partial 16S ribosomal RNA". It matches the Rfam family "Bacterial small subunit ribosomal RNA", at positions 355 to 776 of the family's 1533-position model. The record is from RNAcentral. Lineage: Bacteria; Pseudomonadati; Verrucomicrobiota.
UGGGGAAUCUUGCGCAAUGGGGGAAACCCUGACGCAGCGACGCCGCGUGCGGGAUGAAGGCCUUCGGGUUGUAAACCGCUUUCAGCAGGGACGAGGCCUUAUGGUGACGGUACCUGCAGAAGAAGCUCCGGCUAAAUACGUGCCAGCAGCCGCGGUAAUACGUAUGGAGCAAGCGUUAUCCGGAUUCAUUGGGCGUAAAGCGCUCGUAGGCGGUCUGUUAGGUCGGCAAGUUAAAUCCGGGGGCUCAACCCCCGUCCGCUUCCGAUACCGGCAGACUUGAGUUUGGUAGGGGAAGGUGGAAUUUCUAGUGUAGCGGUGGAAUGCGCAGAUAUUAGGAAGAACACCGGUGGCGAAGGCGGCCUUCUGGGCCAUAACUGACGCUGAGGAGCGAAAGCUAGGGGAGCGAACAGG